UCCCUACGGGGCGCAGCAGGCGCGAAAACUUUACAAUGCGGGAAACCGUGAUAAGGGGACACCGAGUGCCAGCAUCAUAUGCUGGCUGUCCGGGUGUGUAAAAUACACCCGUUAGCAAGGGCCGGGCAAGACCGGUGCCAGCCGCCGCGGUAACACCGGCGGCCCGAGUGGUGAUCGUGAUUAUUGGGUCUAAAGGGUCCGUAGCCGGUUUGGUCAGU
Molecule: ribosomal RNA, 218 nt
Filed under: uncultured methanogenic archaeon
Lineage: Archaea; Methanobacteriati; Methanobacteriota
Description: partial 16S ribosomal RNA
Rfam family: Archaeal small subunit ribosomal RNA
Source: RNAcentral